AUGCUCCCUUUGGCAGCAGAUAUAUCAGACUUGGAAAGACACAGAGAGGAUUAGCAUGGCCCCUGCCCAAGGAUAAUAUGCAAAUCAUGAAAUAGCACAUAAUUUU
Small nuclear RNA from Talpa occidentalis (Iberian mole), 106 nucleotides. The record is from RefSeq and is a predicted model, not a curated record. NCBI's taxonomy places the organism in Eukaryota, Metazoa, Chordata, Mammalia, Eulipotyphla, Talpidae.